This 353-nucleotide ribosomal RNA is filed under the name uncultured Anoxybacillus sp. RNAcentral describes it as "bacterial SSU rRNA". It matches the Rfam family "Bacterial small subunit ribosomal RNA", at positions 1028 to 1382 of the family's 1533-position model. The record is from RNAcentral. Lineage: Bacteria; Bacillati; Bacillota; Bacilli; Caryophanales; Anoxybacillaceae.
CGGGUGACAGGUGGUGCAUGGUUGUCGUCAGCUCGUGUCGUGAGAUGUUGGGUUAAGUCCCGCAACGAGCGCAACCCUCGACCUUAGUUGCCAGCAUUCAGUUGGGCACUCUAAGGUGACUGCCGGCUAAAAGUCGGAGGAAGGUGGGGAUGACGUCAAAUCAUCAUGCCCCUUAUGACCUGGGCUACACACGUGCUACAAUGGGCGGUACAAAGGGUCGCGAACCCGCGAGGGGGAGCCAAUCCCAAAAAGCCGCUCUCAGUUCGGAUUGCAGGCUGCAACUCGCCUGCAUGAAGCCGGAAUCGCUAGUAAUCGCGGAUCAGCAUGCCGCGGUGAAUACGUUCCCGGGCCUU